ACGUAAGUAACUCUAAAGCCAAGCUACUAAUAACAACCACCAUCAGCUUUUCAUUACUGGGGAAAGGUUUCAGGAGAAUUUUAAGCCUGAUUUGCCUAAUUUCCUUAAGGAGAUCUCCAAGAUCCAAGAAUUGAACCAAGAAAUUAAUGGGAAGCAGACGAGAAUGCUGGUCUUAUUUCUACAAUAUAAAAAGGCAGCUAAGGGGCAAAAUCCCACAAGAAGCGUAUUAGACACAGGGAAUUUGUAAGCUUGGGGUCCUACUGGGUAGUUUUCCAAAUGAGGAAAGCACUUCAGAUGCCUGUUGGAGAAACGGGGAAAGAGAUGGCAUUUCUAUUCUGGUUUCAGUGGUGCUAGUCAUGCUGCUUUCCCAGCACAUCGGUACUAUAAAACUGGAAGAGCACACAAAACACUGAGGGGCCUGAGGUAAAAUGCUGAGAUUGAAUCUGUGUGUUGCAUGGGGCGUAGGGCAUGUUCUCUACCUGAACUACGCAAACCUUCCCUAGCUCACAAGCAUAAAGAAAGUCUUCAGGACCAUGCUGUGAAACGAAACCUGCACAUCGGUGAUGUGUGGUGCUCGGUGGCUUUGCAGGUGUGUGGUACCAUGUGACUUCUUAGAUGAGUCCGGAGUAGACUGUGCUGUGCUGCAGUCGUACUGUGUAAGAUCAACUGUGUUGCUGCUAUCACAGCAUAGCAAUGAUGACAAUGUUUUGGGAAUGUUUCCUCACAAUCUGACAGAAGUAAGAGACCAUUAGACAAGAACCACUCCCCCCGCCCCCAUCCACCCACCCACUUUCCAAUUAGCACCUUAUUUUUAUGAGAUGAUGAUUUGAUGUUAGCCAUAUAUCCAUGGAUAUGGAUAUAUUUAUUCAGUCCCCUUUCAAUACGGGAACCACACCAAGCAUGUUUAAGUUUGCUUUUGCUCCUGAGUCUGAGCACUUGGAGAUUAAAAGCUGAGUUCUCUGUUAAUUCCCUGCUUUUUUUGUAAUCUGCCACGAGGGACUGGACCAAAUGUCCUGCAGGGCACCAAGAGGGCUUGAUUUGUCAUUAUUUAAAACAAGUAAGUAUGUGCGGCUUAAGGCCAACUUUGGUCUCAUAUGGCAAGAGGAACUAAAAUCCCUGUGUGUUUAGUAUACAGUUUAUACACAUCUCCAGUACACAAGGUGGUGUUCAUUGCUCUGAAAUGGCUAAAGAUCAUCUUGAAUGAUGCUAAUGACCUUCUCUGAUUCCCUUUAAUUCCUUCACUCUUGCUCUAACCCUUCCUGGGAAGGAGAAGCUUAAAACCAACCCUAACCAGGGCCUUUACUGAGGGUAAUAAGACACACAUGGUACCAACUGUGUAAUCAAAGCAGCAACGCACAUACCAUCCAGCUGCUAAAUGAGAUGUGGAGACAGUAUGGUGGGUUGGGCAGGAUGGACAAUGAGUAAUAAUUCAGACCUGAAGUAGAUCCUUUAAGGAGAUAGAUUAUCAAGGUAAUCAAUAGCAGUAACCAUGGAAAACAUUCUCCCUCUCACUAUGACAUACAGAUUCUCAGGUGAGGAACCUAACCAGGGAUAAAGUGCAGGGCCACGGAAGAGACAGAGAGUAGAAGUAGGACUCUCCUUUCUGCUACUUGAUCACAGGAUAAUGUUAGGAAAAAAAUCUUUUUUCAGUGAGGCCUCCUUUUUAUAGGUAUCAUGUGCCUUCCUGACUCACUCUAGGUUUCUCCAUGCCUCUAUUUUUUUCCAGCAGAAGCAAAAUUGUCAGGAAGGACAGCCAGCACAUGGAUCCAUUGAGUGUGGACCCCUUCCCCUAAAGAUGUUCCUAGAGAUGGGGAAUGAGUAGCCACUGCUCCUCCACAGCCAAUGCCCUGCAAUGCCUGUUCACAUGUAUUUGCCCUUCUAGCUACCUUUCUGGGUUACUUAUUGGAUAUGUUAAUAGCAUCUAAAGCCAUCUGGAGGAGCUGAUAUUUAGCUAUUAUUCAAGACUAUGAGAAAGAAAAGAAACUGUAUCUGAAGAUGAUUAGAGAGCUCCCCUUCUGUCCCCUGACCUGUUAAGAAAGUGCCAUGUACUAAUAGCUUUAACUUCCCUUCCUAUUAUGCUCUGAUAGGAUUUGCCUUUUAAAGCACUCUGACAAGAUAAGACAGUAGGCUGCUGAACUGGAAUAAGUAAUAUGGGCACACAGAAGAUGUGCGUGUGUGUGUGUCGAGACAUACCAACCUGAUGGCUAAGGUAGCCCACUGUACCUCUCAUCAGAGAAAACAAAACCAAAAAUCAUUCCAAGUCUUGUAGGGAGAAAUUACCUCUUUCAUAAGUUAAUUGCGGGGACCAGGAGCAGAAAUUGUGGUGAGACAGAGCAAAGGGAGCCACAGUUCUGAGGAGAUGGACAGAAGGUCCAAGAGCUAAGAGCAAGCUAAGGUGCUCAGAGCAAGCAUCUGGGUAGCCUGGGGUCUUUGGGAGAUAGUGCUGUUAUUGGUGACUUCUUUAUGCUGAACAUAAAACUGGUGGUAUAGAGAGAGAGACUUUUAACAGAGCCAAGAGGCUCAUCCUAUUAAACCUAAUGAGAGCACAAUUCUAUUUAACGAGGAAAACUCUGUGGUUUUCCAGAGGAUCAGGAGGAGGCAAGACUCUACUAACACCUGAAUCUGAGGUCUUGCAUGGAAUUUAGAAAGAGGAUAGGUUUCAUAUUCACCCUUCUCCACUUGUAAGGAAGCUUGAUGGGACUACUUGCAUGUAUGUAGUAACCCACAUAUAUAUGUGUUUACACUGGAUCCUCAGCUAAGGGACAUACAUAAUGCCCAAGAGGGAUAUGGGUGGGAGGCUUCAUUGUUCUUCAGCCACACAUAAAAUUGGGUGAAGACUACACGCAAUUUGUAAAAUUGUCCUGGUGAAUUUGGAAAAGCCCCCAUCUUGAUUCUGCCUCUGUUGAAAUUAAGGGCAGUGUCAUCACUGAUUAUAAAAGGUGCAGGAUCAAUGCCUCGUAGGAUCUGGACGGAUUCCCCAGGGUGUACCUCUGUGUUGCAGCAUACACAUCCAACUUCCAAUGAUACUGAAGAUUUCCUUGUUGGGUUAGUUCUAACACCCACCAAAGUGAACAGAAAGAUUCCCACUGAGAGCUGAAUUUCUGAGUGCAGUGUUAUAGUCCUGAGGGCAGAACAAGAAUAAUUUGUUUAGGAGGGUCUUCAAAACACAUGGAUAAUGUAAUGAACUUGACUGGUGGUAUGGACCAUAGUGGAGAAGGCUGUGCCAUCUUAGCUCUAGCUUUAGACUAUGCUCUACAUAAAAGUUGGAAUUGCCUCCAUGCCCAGCUGCUCUUGUAGCAGGGGAAGAGGUCCUUAUGAAUUCAAGGGAGAGCAGCUUACCAGGAGAAGCACGAGGCUGCCUUAGUCCUGGCAUUGUGCUGGAAAACUGCUAUUUUUCUAAGCUUUGUUUGUUCUUUGCAGUGAAAUGUGUUUAACUAUCAGGAGAAAAGCUGUUUUCUUUUCCUUCUUAACUCCUGAGUGCAAAGCAAUAUUAAUAAGUAAGAGAAAAAUAAAUAAAAUAGAGGGAGGUGAGUAAGGUCAUCAAAAUUCCUAGGGAGCUGGCAGGACUGAAUUCAGAAAGUCCACAAUGAAAUGAAUGGAUCCCCCUCCCACGUGCACAUUUGGACUAAUGGGGGCAUCUGCAAGUAAGGGUGUACUAUUCAUUGGCAGAAUCAAUGGAAUGACACUAAUACAUAAAGAUUCAGAUGCUCCCAGGCUUGGUGGAAUAGGUGCUCCUUAUUCCAAUAACUGUACAUGGUUUCUUGUAAGUCAGGAGACAAAGGGUGGAGCCAGUGCUGUAGUUGCAAUGAGCUUUUGUCUGUUUUAAAGUUGGUUGUCUCUUGUCCAAGAGUUGAGCACAGAGUCAGAGUGAAGCAAAGGGUCUCUUUACAUUUCCAGAUUAAGUAAAGUCAACUGCUAAAUGUUGAAUCGAAAAAGCGACUCUUGACUGAUGGACUAGAAAAUGCUCAAAUGCACAAGUCACAAGUGCCAAGAUCUCAUACCUCAUGGUUCAGAAGAAGUGAAAACUGCUGCUGUAUAGACAUUCAACGGUACAUUAAGUGUCUCCAGGACACCAUCAGUGAUCCAUGUGGCCAGGAACAGCAAGUUCUGCAUGAGAUAAUUAUUCUAAGAUUUCAAAACAGGACCUGUUGCAAUUAAUGCAAGAACAGUAUUUGUGUCCUACAUGUCAAAGAGAGGACAGAAGAAAUGCAGUGAAGGAUCCAUCAAGUCUUCAAUGACGUUUUAGUAGUAAGCUAGGUAGCAUAAUACAGCUUAGCUUGCUGGGUUCCUAAGGAUGGGGAAAAUUGCUUGGUGCAGUUUGAUUAGAGAUGUGUUGCUUUUUUUCAAACCCACCACCAUCAAAGCCAAAUAUCUCUUCAGAGGUAUUUGCACCCAUAAAGCUGCAUGGGCAAAAAAAUCGAAACCAAAACCAAACCCCAAAACCCCACCUUUCUUCAUGCUGGGAUCAGAAAGUAAUACAAGAUCCUGAAACUUGAUCCAAGAAGCUCUCAAAAGCACCUGCCCUUCCAGAAAAUAUUGGCUGAAUGUUGAGCCUGAAACAAGACCAGAAAGUCAGCAAGGUCCCAUGAACUCUGUAUGGGAGCAGGGACAAAAUUCUGAAAGGGUUUUUAGCUCCUCACUGCUUGGCCUGGUACUGAGUGUUAACAGGAGCAUCUGGUUGCAGCCCUGAGUCUAAUGCAGUUAUUUGGCUAAGUUUUAUUAUUACAUCUUUGCCCCCCCCGUCCCACCAAGGAACCUACCUGGUUAUAUUAUGGAGUCUAAGCUGCAGGAAACACAAAAUUUCCCAGCUGACUGUAGCUAGACAGAGAUGCCACAAGGAAGAAAUGCGAUAAGAAUUUAAUUCUCAGUAGUUCACAGAUAAACUAUCUCCAGUUUUCUUCAGCUGGGACAAAUUGAUUGGUGAAGGUAUUAGAGUGUAACUUGUCUACCAAAGCUCUCCCAGUAUGCUUUAACCAUUCCAGAACAACUCCUCUAUAGAGAGACAUGAAGGAAAAGGUAUCUUUGUGUUUGGAUUAUCUUCUCUAAAUAGGGGAAUUAGUCUGAAAUUGCUAUUCUGGUUGAUUCCAUUUGAAUCUUUAGAAAGGUGCUUUACCCUGUAGAUCCAAAGCGGAAUCUGUUUUAUAGUAAAUGUAAAGUGAAAUAAUGGUGAGAGCAGUGAGACCCAGUGCAAUCAUUAAAUCAUUUAUACCCCAAUUCAGCCUGGUUUUGAGAGGUUUAAAUGAUGCACAGCAGGUAAUGCCAUCCUUUAAGUCAAAGGAAACACAUUCAUUUACUCUAAGUCACAGCAUCUGGGAAGACUGGGAUCUAUCUGCUUAGUUUUUUUGAAGGGAAAUUCUCUUGCCAGAGAAUUUUUUUCUUAGCUUGGGAUGAUUUUUCCAUUUAUUGUUCACUGAACAGUGGUACAGGUUUUGGCAAUGUCACCAUGUAAUCAUGCUUUAUUUGAAUGGGUAGACUUGAAUGGGCUUUGCUCCUAUGGUAACAGAUUUUUAGCUGCAAUUGUUCCUAGCUUUUUGAAGGUGCCAUUAACCAUUGUUCCCAGCAGCCUGGUUCUCUAUGUGGCUUGGGCUUUCCAAGACUGGAUCUCAAAAGUGUCAAGGUUACACCGGGCAAAGGGAAGGAGAGUGAGUGACUGGGAAAAUGAGAUCAAGUCUUUUUUCGCCUUUUCCCUAAUCCUGGACUAGGCAGAGGCCAAAGCAGGCCCAGCGGAGCUUAUAGCAGCUAAAAGGCUGCUGCAAAUUCUGCCAGCCUCAGUGGUUCCUUGUGGACGACCAUGCCAGCUGGAUCCUUUCUGCCCCAUUCUGAUUCCUCUCUGUAGCAAUAUGCCCUUUGCUCAAAAAUGAGCAAAGCUCUCACUGUGCCAGCUGCCACAGGGAUCUUCGGCUGCUUAUUGAAGACAUUAUCUCUAGGGCUACGUCAGCAAACCAGGUCCUACAGCGGUCUCCAAAUGGUGCAGGGAUCCACACGUCAUUGAAAUGUAGCCCUUCCCAGAGCUGAGCACAGGAGCUGAAUAACACUGCGCAACUUUAGGACCACUGGGCAGAAUGGAAUAAACCAGCGUCCUGCUGAAGCUAGAGGUAAAUUUAGGUUGGAAGAAGAUACAGUGAUUUUCCCGAGCAGUGCAGCAGAUUUAACAGACUCUCAAUUCUUGCAAAAUAUCUAAAGGGCAUUCCUUGAUUGCAAGGCAUAGAGAUGUUCAGUGACAUGUCUACGGCUGUGGAGCAAGUCCGUAGAAAAAGUAGUAACAGUUCCUACAUCCCCUGCCUGCCCACUGCACUGCUCUAUAAAGCAGCUUCUGUUUGAAGAGCGAAAGGGAGAAGAGUCAGAUAAUAGGCUUGAGGAUAAAAGAAGUGACAUCAAAAUCUUUCAACAUCCAUGUCAUUAGUGGAUCAGAGGAUGGGCUGUCAUUGACUCUUCUGGCCUUAAACGCUACAGCAUUCAACAAGGAAAUGGUAAGUUUUCAGGGAAUUGGAAAGCUGUGGACUUUCAGGUCAUGUUUAAUCAUUUUUUACAAAGAAGCUCUAUUUGUAAUACCCCUGCUGUCAAAGCAUCAGUGGAUUAACAGGACUAGCAGGUAAUUCUGCUUUAACAUCAAUACUGGUAUAACACUAUAUGCUGCCUACAGCUUAAUAGGAAUAUUUGAAAAAUGUAUUUGUGAAGUGACAGUAUGAAGUGAGUAAUAGCCAUAGAAUGUGGGUAAGAAAAUUAUCACAAAGGGUAGAACAAAUAUUCAGGGCUCAUGCAAGCCAUUAAAGAGAUAGAGUCUCCUUUGCAGGCUCCAGUCCACUGCUGGCUCCCUAGUCUGAGUUUCCCUCCUUUACCUUUAGCCCCAAAGUCACUGAAGUGGGAACGGGAUCUCCUGGAAGAUGAGUCACCCCACCACCUGAGGUACUGUCUGAAGUACCUCUUUUCAGAGAGCGUGAACUGGUCAUUCUCCAUUCCUAUUGAAGGUGCCCUAGACAUCCAGCUCUGACGGGACUAUAACAGCUGAUGAGUGCAGAGCUGACUCUUGUCCAUUGUGCACAGCCUUCAGAUAGCUCACAAAUGUCUUCCCAAAGCCUUUCCUACUAUAGGGAAACCUCCAGUCUGAUGGGACUAUUCUGGAAGCAACCCACUAACUAAAACAUGAGGCAAGCCUGGGCUAGAAACAGUCUCAACCCCUUCUGUUGGAGCUGUGGCAACCAAAACGUAUUGUAGCAAGAGGUAAGAAAGCGAUAAAAGAGCUUUUAGCCUUGUAGCCGGGCAUUCAGGAAGAUUUUAGUACUGAAGCCUCUUUAUAUUAAAUUGUCCUUGUCAAAGGGCACCUCCAAAUGUGCCCUUACUGCCAGCCUGUGUAGUCAUGCCAGUUUUUCACUUCGGGCCUAAUUGGUCUAACAAAACAAAAAGGAACAAUUCUGGCAGGACUAAUGGCCCCACAGUGCUGUGGAGAGAUGGGAUAUGGGGGCCUGAGGGUCUCUUUUCGAAGAAGUGAAUUUCCUAGCCUAUAUAUGUUUUAAGAAAAGAUAAUGGCACUGCUGACACCUCCUUUUCAGAAGACGGGGAUGCUCAUUUUUUCUGUUCUGAA
Long non-coding RNA from Aquila chrysaetos chrysaetos, 7582 nucleotides. RefSeq lists it as uncharacterized. The record is from RefSeq and is a predicted model, not a curated record. The transcript has 2 exons. Lineage: Eukaryota; Metazoa; Chordata; Aves; Accipitriformes; Accipitridae.